CCUACGGGUGACAGCAGUGAGGAAUAUUGGUCAAUGGCCGGAAGGCUGAACCAGCCAUGCCGCGUGAAGGUCAGUGCCCUAUGGGCGUUAAACUUCUUUUGUGCGGGAGCAAUAAUGGUCACGUGUGGCCAGACGAGAGUACCGUACGAAUAAGCAUCGGCUAACUCCGUGCCAGCAGCCGCGGUAAUACGGGGGAGGCAAGCGUUAUCCGGAUUUAUUUGGUUUAAAGGGUGCGUAGGCUGUGAGGUAAGUCAGCGGUGAAAUGCCCCCGGUCAACGGGGUGAAGUGCCAUUGAUACUGCCUUGCUUGAGUGCGGAAGCCGUGGGAGGAAUGUGUGGUGUAGCGGUGAAAUGCAUAGAUAUCACACAGAACACCGAUUGCGAAGGCAUCUCACGAAUCCGCGAUUGACGCUGAUGCACGAAAGCGUGGGUAUCAAACAGGAUUAGAUACCCGAGUAGUC
This 460-nucleotide ribosomal RNA is filed under the name uncultured bacterium. RNAcentral's name for it is "partial 16S ribosomal RNA". It matches the Rfam family "Bacterial small subunit ribosomal RNA", at positions 338 to 795 of the family's 1533-position model. The record is from RNAcentral.